RNAcentral lists this unclassified non-coding RNA (180 nucleotides) under Glomeraceae sp. Its description in RNAcentral is "partial contains 5.8S ribosomal RNA and internal transcribed spacer 2". The stretch from base 1 to 71 matches the Rfam family "5.8S ribosomal RNA", at positions 84 to 154 of the family's 154-position model. The record is from RNAcentral. Lineage: Eukaryota; Fungi; Glomeromycota; Glomeromycetes; Glomerales; Glomeraceae.
GUGAAUCAUCGAAUUUUUGAACGCACAUUGCACUCUCUGGUAUUCCGGAGAGUAUGCCUGUUUGAGGGUCAGUUUAAAUAAAAAUCUGUGUGGUUGCUGCCUUUUGUGGUGACGCAUCGGAGUUGGGUCGCCUUACCUUCGGUUAAGUGCGCUAAAAUUGUGUAUGGUUUUUUUGGAACU